AAAUAAAUUAAUUUAAUAAAUUGUAAAUUUAUUAAAGAAUAUUGAUUCUUUAUUUA
RNAcentral lists this transfer RNA (56 nucleotides) under Phenacoccus manihoti (cassava mealybug). RNAcentral's name for it is "tRNA-Tyr". The record is from RNAcentral. Lineage: Eukaryota; Metazoa; Arthropoda; Insecta; Hemiptera; Pseudococcidae.